CCUACGGGUGGCAGCAGUGGGGAAUAUUGGGCAAUGGGCGCACGCCUGACCCAGCAACGCCGCGUGAAGGAAGAAGGCUUUCGGGUUGUAAACUUCUUUUGACAGGGAAGAGCAGAAGACGGUACCUGUCGAAUAAGCCACGGCUAACUACGUGCCAGCAGCCGCGGUAAUACGUAGGUGGCAAGCGUUGUCCGGAAUCAUUGGGCGUAAAGCGUUCGUAGGCGGCAAGGUAAGUCUGAUGUUAAAGCCAGGGGCUCAACUCCGGUUCGGCAUUGGAUACUAUCUAGCUAGAAGGUGGUAGAGGUAAAGGGAAUGCCUGGUGUAGCGGUGAAAUGCGUAGAUAUCAGGAGGAACAUCGGUGGCGAAAGCGCUUUACUGGACCAUUAUUGACGCUGAGGAACGAAAGCCAGGGGAGCAAAUGGGAGUAGAUACCCUUGUAGUC
RNAcentral lists this ribosomal RNA (442 nucleotides) under uncultured bacterium. Its description in RNAcentral is "partial 16S ribosomal RNA". It matches the Rfam family "Bacterial small subunit ribosomal RNA", at positions 338 to 795 of the family's 1533-position model. The record is from RNAcentral.